Dermochelys coriacea (leatherback sea turtle) is the source of this 164-nucleotide long non-coding RNA. RefSeq lists it as uncharacterized. The record is from RefSeq and is a predicted model, not a curated record. NCBI's taxonomy places the organism in Eukaryota, Metazoa, Chordata, Testudines, Dermochelyidae. The transcript is spliced from 4 exons.
UAAUUGUCUCCAGAAGGUUUCUGAUUGUUCUGGAACCUUCCCUGUUACCUUACCCAGGGAAAAGGGACCUACUUAGCCUGAGGCUUAUAUAUCUGCCUUCUAUUACUCUCCUAUAGCCAUCUGGCGCGACCCUGUCACACUGUCCUUUCCUUGGUUCUCUUCUC